This 300-nucleotide ribosomal RNA is filed under the name uncultured Lactobacillus sp. Its description in RNAcentral is "bacterial SSU rRNA". It matches the Rfam family "Bacterial small subunit ribosomal RNA", at positions 496 to 795 of the family's 1533-position model. The record is from RNAcentral. Lineage: Bacteria; Bacillati; Bacillota; Bacilli; Lactobacillales; Lactobacillaceae.
GUCGACGACGCGGCAGGGGGCGCGGGAAUACGUGGGUGGCAAGGGUUGUCCGGAUUUAUUUGGCGUAAAGAGCGUGUAGGCGGCUUGGCAAGGCCGGUGUGAAAACUCGAGGCUCAACCUCGAGACGCCGGUGGAAACUGCAAAGCUAGAGUCCGGAAGAGGAGAGUGGAAUUCCUGGUGUAGCGGUGAAAUGCGCAGAUAUCAGGAAGAACACCCGUGGCGAAGGCGGCUCUCUGGGACGGUACUGACGCUGAGACGCGAAAGCGUGGGGAGCGAACAGGAUUAGAUACCCUGGUAGUC